UAAUCGGUAAUCGAAAUCGAAAAUUAGGUCUCACUUUCUCACUUAGCACCGUUCUUAAUAUUGCUCAUCUCCCUUCCCCUGAUCGAAGCUGACGACGCAACACUCCGACGAGCUCAACCCCAUUCCCAAACCGCCGACGCCACCCAUCCAAAGACCAAAGCUACUAGCCUGCUACCGUGCUACGCCUCUGACAGUUCCUUCUCCCGUCUCACUUAUCAAAUUCUCAGGUUUGUUUUCAAAUUUCUCCCUUCUUGCUUAUCAGUUUGUCACUUCUUGGUUGCAAUUGCCAAUUUGUGCAUUGCUUUGUUGUUAUUGGAUUGCUUGUUCAUCCCUAAACAGCUGAUUAGUACACCGAUUUUGGAAUGGCAGGAAACUACCGACUAUUCUAAUCUUCUACACCGGUUCAAUUUAUGAAAUUAUUACACCCUAAUGUUCAAUUUCUUAUUCCGACUGCUAUAAAUUUGUAUAUAAUACACAAUUUGUUAACUCAAAGUUGAUGGUUUGGUUUUGGAUUUGUUUAUGAAUUAUAAUGCUGAAAUAUCGGCGAUUUAUUAUGAAUUCUGUCAUUCUGAUGCUGAAAUAUUGUUCAUGAAUUUGUUUAUGAAAUAUAAUGCUUAAAUAUUGUUCCUGUAUGACCUAAAAACAUAAUUUUUUGGUAACUACGGACUUUGUGUUUUACUUUGAAUGU
Molecule: long non-coding RNA, 688 nt
Filed under: Lactuca sativa (garden lettuce)
Lineage: Eukaryota; Viridiplantae; Streptophyta; Magnoliopsida; Asterales; Asteraceae
Description: long non-coding RNA (LSAT_LNC004061)
Source: RNAcentral